GUCGGCUGCUCCCACCGCCGUUGUACCCGUCGCGCGCCUCGUUGACCAAGGAGCGCCUCUGACCCGUAGCUGCUCCUACUAGGUUUAUCACCGCCGUUGUGCCUUGUCAUCGCCAUCAGAGCCGCCGUGAAUAAGAGAAGGGAGGGGCGCUGCUUCACGCCGUCGCCGUCGCCGUGGGUGGAGCCGCCGUCACCAAGAUCCGCCGUGAAGAGGAACGCAAAUGGAAAAGAAAACAGGGAAGCUGAUGUUGGGAAUUUGGAGAAAAUGUCGCCGUCGUGUCUUCGUCGUCUCGUCGUCGUCUUCCUGCUGUCAGUGAAAGAAAUGAUAUUCAAGUUUCUCUAAAGAAAAAAAUAUAAUGAUAUGUACAAAUCAUCCAAAAAUCUUCUCAGCAGAAGUGAGUGGUAUUAUCACCAAGCAUUCCGUGCUUUAAAUCAAGCAGCAGGGCGUUGUAUAUGACAUAAGCUUGACUAUGGGGCAAUAAUCCUUUUGGGUAAUUAUGCUGAAUUGCUGAUCAUAUUAUAUCUCUUCUACUGUCUAUCUUGUUUCAGAAUUUAAGAACUGAUUUAGUGAUGUCUUUACCAAGUUAUUUGUUUCUUGUUUAUCCUUCUUUUACUCUGUUUACACUAUGGCCCUUGAUCUAUACUGCCAUGCCCAUCUAAAAGUAUAAGGUUUAGUUGUUGCUGUCGCCUUUUCCUAUGUAACUCUUCUUCUAGUAAUAGAUGAACGUCUUCGUGAAGAAAGAAGUAGAGCAUUCAUUUCGAAGUGGCUAAGAAGAAACCUAAAGGUUUAUGACAACUUCAAAUUAUCAAUAGAAGGACUAAAAUCCUUCUUUGAGGAUGCCAAGAAUAUAUUGGAUUAAACUCCUGAGCCAAAAACACUCGUGACUAGUUUCACGUAUCACUAGUAUUUCGACAUGACUAGAGGAUGUUGCUGCAAUUGUCUGUUUCGUGAAACUUCAUGAUAUAGCUGUACUACCAUAUGUAAACAGGUAUCCUGUUUGAAAUUUUUCUUUGUGUAGAUUAGACAAGUAUCCAUCAUUUGCAUAGCCAACUAAUUGUGACUUAGAUUCAUAUGGAUAAAACAAACCCAUAUCAACUGUUCCAUGAAGAUAUCAAAAAAUUUGUUUGAUUCUAUUCCAAUGUUUUCUGGUUGGAGGGGAACUAUACAUUGUUAGUAAAUUCACCGCAAAUGAUAUGUCAGGUCGUGUAUUAUUAGCAAGAUACAUUAGCGCUCCAAUAACUCCAACUUUUUCAGCCACAAGCAUCCAAGAAUGUGACCAAGUUAAGCAAGAAAAACACAAGGGGUGGAGUAAAGGAGCUGGCCAAAGCAUUGGAGGAAGGAGAAUCAGGAAGUACUAGCCUCUAUCAAGUCAUUUUCUUCAAAAAAAAACCAGCAGCCUCACCAUCUUCACCAACCUCUUCUUCUUAAAAAUUUAACAAUGAAAUUCACACCAAUCAUCCUCUAAGAACUUCUUUCAAGCUAGUCGAAUUCGGGUCAAGGAGGGAGACCAUAAUCGAAAGAAACUUCAAUAAAGUUACAAGAUGGGGUUUGGAAUAAUUUCAGUGGCUUAAGCAACACAAGAGUAAAGAGUUAAGUAGCUAUAUGUGUUGGUAUAUGCGGCUAUGAUGAUUGUUGAUGAUAUUUGUUGUUAAUGAUGGCUGAUAAACCACUAUUUUAUGGUUUAUAUUGUGUUUAAUUGAGUGGUUUUUAUCAAAUUAUUGCCCACUUAUUCAUAUGAUUAGCAUGAUAUUACAAUUCCUUUCCAAAGUUGUUCUAUGGUUGAAAAAUUGCUUCCUAGAGAUCCUUUUAUUGUAUAUUUUAAUUCUCCUUUAUACCAUUCAAUGCCGUGAUCCGUGUGUUAAGUGUUUUCAGGCUUCAUAGGGCAGGAAUGACUUAGAGAAUGGAGAGGAAUCUUGCAAAAAUGGAAGGAACACAAGAAACUAAGGAGAUGACCAGUGAACACCGACGUGGAUGCAUGGCUCACGCGACCGCGCGAAAUGGAGAAAAGAUUGGAGUCUGCACGAGUGACGCGAACGCGUGGACGACGCGUACGCGUGGUAAGAAAAAAAUGCUGAAUGAUGCGCACGCGUGGAUGACGCGUACGCGUGACAUGCGUGAUCUGCAUAAUUAACAGAACACACUGGGAGCAAUUUCGGGCCGCGUUUUGACCCAGUUCUCGGCCCAGAAACACAGAAUAAAGCAAGGAAACAUGCAGAGACUCAAUGGAUACAAAGCAUAGGCUCAUAAUUCAUAAUUUUAGGUUUAGAUGUAGUUUUUAGAGAGAGAGACUCUCCCCUCUCUCUUAGGUUUUAGGAUUUAGAAUUUUUUUUAGGAUUAGGAUUUAUACUUCUUAAUUUCCAGGUUUAAUAUUCCUUUACUUUUUUAUGUUUUCUUCUACUUUUAUUUAUUUUAUUACUUUAGUUGAUUACUUGAUAUUGCCAAUUUGGUUUAUGGAUUCUUAUGUUCAAUCUAACUUU
Long non-coding RNA from Arachis duranensis, 2477 nucleotides. RefSeq lists it as uncharacterized. The transcript is spliced from 4 exons. NCBI's taxonomy places the organism in Eukaryota, Viridiplantae, Streptophyta, Magnoliopsida, Fabales, Fabaceae. The record is from RefSeq and is a predicted model, not a curated record.